Molecule: ribosomal RNA, 460 nt
Filed under: uncultured bacterium
Lineage: Bacteria
Description: partial 16S ribosomal RNA
Rfam family: Bacterial small subunit ribosomal RNA
Source: RNAcentral
CCUACGGGGUGCAGCAGUGAGGAAUAUUGGUCAAUGGACGAGAGUCUGAACCAGCCAAGUAGCGUGAAGGAUGACUGCCCUAUGGGUUGUAAACUUCUUUUAUAUGGGAAUAAAACGUUCCACGUGUGGGAUUUUGUAUGUACCAUAUGAAUAAGGAUCGGCUAACUCCGUGCCAGCAGCCGCGGUAAUACGGAGGAUCCGAGCGUUAUCCGGAUUUAUUGGGUUUAAAGGGAGCGUAGGUGGAUUGUUAAGUCAGUUGUGAAAGUUUGCGGCUCAACCGUAAAAUUGCAGUUGAAACUGGCAGUCUUGAGUACAGUAGAGGUGGGCGGAAUUCGUGGUGUAGCGGUGAAAUGCUUAGAUAUCGCGAAGAACUCCGAUUGCGAAGGCAGUUCACUGGACUGCAACUGACACUGAGGCUCGAAAGUGUGGGUAUCAAACAGGAUUAGAUACCCCUGUAGUC